UACGAAGGGGGCUAGCGUUGCUCGGAAUUACUGGGCGUAAAGCGUGCGCAGGCGGUGAUGUAAGACAGUUGUGAAAUCCCCGGGCUCAACCUGGGAACUGCAUCUGUGACUGCAUCGCUGGAGUGCGGCAGAGGGGGAUGGAAUUCCGCGUGUAGCAGUGAAAUGCGUAGAUAUGCGGAGGAACACCGAUGGCGAAGGCAAUCCCCUGGGCCUGCACUGACGCUCAUGCACGAAAGCGUGGGGAGCAAACAGG
Molecule: ribosomal RNA, 253 nt
Filed under: uncultured bacterium
Lineage: Bacteria
Description: partial 16S ribosomal RNA
Rfam family: Bacterial small subunit ribosomal RNA
Source: RNAcentral